This is a non-coding RNA of Callorhinus ursinus (northern fur seal), 296 nucleotides long. Lineage: Eukaryota; Metazoa; Chordata; Mammalia; Carnivora; Otariidae. The record is from RefSeq and is a predicted model, not a curated record.
AUUGGGAGGAGAGGAGUGACACAGGCAAAAUGUAGGGCAUACGUGACAGAGAAUCUUUUCUUUCUCUGCUCCCUGGAGAGGUGAAGUAGAAGAAGGACCCUACCUGUUCUGAUGCCCGAUGAAGCCACGGAAAGUUCUAGAAAAACAAGAAACCUGGAAGGGACUGACCCCAAGAAGGUUGAAGUGUCCGUGGCACUGAAGUGACUGGUGUCGCUGGCCUGUGAAACAUCCACAACGAAGACCACACUACUUCAAGGUGGAAAGUGACACACAUAUGCGCACGGAUGAAAACUCAA